CGUACACUCCUACGGGAGGCAGCAGUGGGGAAUAUUGGACAAUGGGCGCAAGCCUGAUCCAGCCAUGCCGCGUGAGUGAUGAAGGCCCUAGGGUUGUAAAGCUCUUUCACCGGUGAAGAUAAUGACGGUAACCGGAGAAGAAGCCCCGGCUAACUUCGUGCCAGCAGCCGCGGUAAUACGAAGGGGGCUAGCGUUGUUCGGAUUUACUGGGCGUAAAGCGCACGUAGGCGGACUAUUAAGUCAGGGGUGAAAUCCCGGGGCUCAACCCCGGAACUGCCUUUGAUACUGGUAGUCUUGAGUUCGAGAGAGGUGAGUGGAAUUCCGAGUGUAGAGGUGAAAUUCGUAGAUAUUCGGAGGAACACCAGUGGCGAAGGCGGCUCACUGGCUCGAUACUGACGCUGAGGUGCGAAAGCGUGGGGAGCAAACAGGAUUAGAAACCCCUGUAGUCCCAUGA
RNAcentral lists this ribosomal RNA (454 nucleotides) under uncultured organism. RNAcentral describes it as "partial 16S ribosomal RNA". It matches the Rfam family "Bacterial small subunit ribosomal RNA", at positions 330 to 800 of the family's 1533-position model. The record is from RNAcentral.